CCGGCUUGAAGGUUUUGGAGGCCAAGCCUUCUUCUUCAAAGCCUUGUGAUACCUUUUUUGGGGUUCUGGUUCUUGCCUGCAUAUUGUUGAUCUUUGCUUAUGAGAUUUAAGUAAUAGGGUUUUUGCAAAGAGAGCUUCCUUCAGUCCACUCAUGGUCGGUUAUGGGAUUUGAUUAGCUGCCGACUCAUUCAUCCACGUCCUGAGCAAGUGAAAUUUGCUCUGUAGAUGAGUGAAUGAUGCGGGAGGUAAAUCUGAUCUCAUGUUGCCUUUGCUUGGACUGAAGGGAGCUCCCUUGCUCACUCCAUCCUCCUGCACACAAACAAUUAUUUUUUUGGCUGCUGUAAAGUUUUCUUCUGAUAUGAUUUUAAGCUCGCUAUCGAGCUAUCAAAUUUGCUUUCUUUAGUUUGUCUUGAAAACGCUUUUAAGUUGUCUUGUUUUUUAAGCUUCUCAUCUUUGGCUUAAACUCAAUAGUCAUACGACCAAGUUAAUUUCUGCUUGUAAUUAUCAGAUUGAUUUGAAGCUUUUGUCUGAUUAAUUAGCUUCUUACUUUGGAUAAAUCCGUCAAGAAUGGAAGCCGCGUGCGAUAGCUGCAGUAUAAUCAUAUUGAACCGUAGCACUUCAGGAAUGCAUGUCAUUGAAAACCCUAAUAAGUGAUCUCCGGCGUCUGCAGUAGCUCCACAAGUUCCGAGCAGCACUAGUGGCUUAAACAAAAGAAAUGGCAGGAAUGCAUCAUUGCACCUCUCCCUGAAGGGCGACUUGUCUCAGGGAAAAUGAUGGAUGGUUCCAUGCGUCAGCUGGUCAGUGGCGGGCUUGCAGUUCCAAGUGGUCAUGGCGUGCAUGGCGCAGUCCUCGAUGCUGCCGCUGCUCCCCUGUUUGCUUUCUUCUUCCUCUCUACCUCUGUAUUUUAAUCAGAAGCAAAGGCUCAUGUGGAGUGGGCGUUUGUAAUAUUAAAUGCAACUUAAACCUGUAGGACUAAUUUCUGGGUUAUGAUAAUGGCGAACACUGUUUGGCAUUGGCUGCCAUAAUCUUGGGGGGUGGUUUAACUGUACUUAGCAGUGGGGAAGUUGAUGAAUGAUAAUUAUUGUCCCUAUAGGCAUUAUCAAAA
Long non-coding RNA from Zingiber officinale, 1105 nucleotides. RefSeq lists it as uncharacterized. The transcript is spliced from 2 exons. Lineage: Eukaryota; Viridiplantae; Streptophyta; Magnoliopsida; Zingiberales; Zingiberaceae. The record is from RefSeq and is a predicted model, not a curated record.